Eptesicus fuscus (big brown bat) is the source of this 698-nucleotide long non-coding RNA. RefSeq lists it as uncharacterized. The record is from RefSeq and is a predicted model, not a curated record. The transcript is spliced from 3 exons. Lineage: Eukaryota; Metazoa; Chordata; Mammalia; Chiroptera; Vespertilionidae.
CUUAUAAUGAAUGGAGGGAUGGAUGGAUGGAUGCCUCUUAUCAGCCCUUGGAAAGUGAUCUUGAGCUCAGAUCUCCUUUUUUCACUGUACAUGUUGCAAACCCACUUUGACUUGAGACAAGAAGUGUACGAAGAACACCAGUCAUGAAAGCCAGUGCACACGUAGGACUGGCCUCCCCUUGCCCAUACUGAACCCCCCUCCAUAGUGGUCCCUGCUCAGGAGCUGGGCUCACCUGCAGAUCUCCAAAGAAGCUACCAUAGCUGUUCCUUCUGCCUGUACCCCAUGCUGCACCCAGAGUCAUCCACACAGGGGUCAUCCCCAUAGAUCCACCUGUCUCCUGCCUCAGUGCUCUGUCUUCUGGGCAUUGCACAUCCCUAGCGUUCUGAAGACUGGAUCUCCAUUGCCAAGUGUGAUGUUAACUCUGGAGAUGGCAGCAUAUUAUGACCUUUAUGUUGGUGAUGAUUCAACUUUUUGUCCCAUCUUUCUCUGAAGAUGUGCUGGGGUUUUCUAGUCCUUUCCCAGGGCUCUCGGGGCUCACUGAGCAGGGGACAUGACUCCCCCAGAUUAUUUUUGGGACAUCUGUCACCUUACACUUUCUCUCUCACUGAAUUGGGUCACUCAGUUGUCAAGCUGUAGCCAUUUGUCACUUUAAAACAGAAAAAAAAUUGUUUCAUUCUUUAAAGUUGUUGUUUUUUCAU